GAUGAAGAACGUAGCGAAAUGCGAUAAGUAGUGUGAAUUGCAGAAUUCAGUGAAUCGUCGAAUCUUUGAACGCACAUUGCGCCCUUUGGUAUUCCUUAGGGCAUGCCUGUUCGAGCGUCAUUUAAACCUUCAAGCUCAGCUUGGUGUUGGGUGACUGUCCGCUUCACCGCGGACUCGCCUCAAAAUUAUUGGCGGCCGGUACAUUGGCUUCGAGCGCAGCAGAAACGCGAACUCGGGCCCGUCGUAUUGGCUCCCAGAAGCUAUCUUCACAAUUUUGACCUCGGAUCAGGUAGGGAUACCCGCUGAACUUAAGCAUAUCAAUAAGCGGAGGA
Molecule: unclassified non-coding RNA, 332 nt
Filed under: soil metagenome
Description: partial contains 5.8S ribosomal RNA, internal transcribed spacer 2, and large subunit ribosomal RNA
Rfam family: 5.8S ribosomal RNA (bases 1-120)
Source: RNAcentral